UUUCCGUUGGUGAACCAGCGGAAGGAUCAUUACAGAGAUCGUGCCCUUCGGGGUAGACCUCCCACCCUGUGUUAUUUACGUAUGUUGCUUUGGCGGGCCGCCUCCGGGCUCUCGGCUUCGGCCGAGGUGUGCCCGCCAGAGAACCCACAACCCUGUGUUUAGUGUCGUCUGAGUAUUAUCAAAUAAGUUGAAACUUUCAACAACGGAUCUCUUGGUUCUG
Molecule: unclassified non-coding RNA, 220 nt
Filed under: plant metagenome
Description: partial contains small subunit ribosomal RNA, internal transcribed spacer 1, and 5.8S ribosomal RNA
Source: RNAcentral